RNAcentral lists this long non-coding RNA (1746 nucleotides) under Scleropages formosus (Asian bonytongue). Its description in RNAcentral is "lncRNA (ENSSFOG00015030644.1)". The record is from RNAcentral. Lineage: Eukaryota; Metazoa; Chordata; Actinopteri; Osteoglossiformes; Osteoglossidae.
AUGUUGUUGAAGAAACUGAACUACAGUGUCAGAAAAUGCUUCCAUGUCUUCAAAGGUUGCUACCCACAAUGUCCCCCGGAUAAGCCAUACUUUGAUGAGAACACAAGAAAAUGUGUGACGAGUUGUGAAACAUCUACUACAACAACUACCACAACAACAACAACAACGACUACAACCACAACAACACCUACUACAACGACAACAGAAACGACAACAGAAACGACUACAACACCUACUACUACCACAGAAACGACCACAACACCUACUACAACAACAGAAACGACCACAACACCUACUACCACAACAACAACAGAAACGACCACAACACCUACUACAACAACAGAAACGACAACACCUACUACCACAGAAACGAGCACAACACCUACUACAACAACAGAAACGACCACAUCUACUACAACAGAAUCAACGACCACACCUACUACCACAGAAACGACCACAACAACAUCUACGACAACAACAGAAACAACAACACCUACUACCACAGAAACGACCACAACACCUACUACAACAACAGAAACAACCACAACACCUACUACCACAGAAACGACCACAACAUCUACUACAACAGAAUCAACCACAAUACCUACUACCACAGAAACGACCACAACACCUACUACAACAACAGAAACAACCACAACACCUACCACCACAGAAACGACCACAACAACAUCUACUACAACAACAGAAACGACCACAACACCUACCACCACAGAAACGACUACAACAACAUCUACUACCACAGAAACGACCACACCUACUACAACAACAGAAACGACCACACCUACUACAACAACAGAAACGACACCUACUACCACAGAAACGACCACAACAUCUACUACAACAACAGAAACGACCACAUCUACUACAACAGAAUCAACCACAACACCUACUACAACAGAAACGACCACAACAACAGAAACGACCACACCUACUACCACAGAAACGACCACAACACCUACUACAACAACAGAAACGACCACAACAACAUCUACUACAACAGAAUCAACCACAACACCUACUACCACAGAAACUACCACAACAUCUACUACAACAACAGAAACGACAACACCUACUACCACAGAAACAACCACAACAACAUCUACUACAACAACAACAGAAACGACCACACCUACGACAACAAUAACAGAAACGACAACACCUACUACCACAGAAACGACCACACCUACUACCACAGAAACGACCACAACAUCUACUACAACAGAAUCAACCACAACACCUACUACCACAGAAACAACCACAACACCUACUACAACAGAAACGACCACAACAACAGAAACGACAACACCUACUACCACAGAAACGACCACAACACCUACUACAACAACAGAAACGACCACAACAACAUCUACUACAACAGAAUCAACCACAACACCUACUACCACAGAAACAACUACAACAACAGAAACAACCACAACACCUACCACCACAGAAACGACCACAACAACACCUACUACAACUACGACCACAACAACAACAGAAACAACCACAACCACACCGACUACAACAACGAAAACAACAACAACAACACCGACUACAACAAAAACAACCACUACACCUACUACAACAACGACCACAACAACACCUACUACGACAACAACCGGUGAGUUUUGUUACAACCUUGAUAUUACGCAAGAGCUUAUACUAUUACUCCUUUAUGGAAUGGUGCAGUUUGUAUGUAUCAAUACAGUAACAGCAGGCUUCUGA